RNAcentral lists this ribosomal RNA (253 nucleotides) under uncultured bacterium. RNAcentral describes it as "partial 16S ribosomal RNA". It matches the Rfam family "Bacterial small subunit ribosomal RNA", at positions 524 to 776 of the family's 1533-position model. The record is from RNAcentral.
GACGUAGGGUGCGAGCGUUGUCCGGAGUUAUUGGGCGUAAAGAGCGUGUAGGCGGUCUGGUAGGUCCGUUGUGAAAACUCGAGGCUCAACCUCGAGACGCCGAUGGAAACCAUCAGACUAGAGUCCGGAAGAGGAGAGUGGAAUUCCUGGUGUAGCGGUGAAAUGCGCAGAUAUCGGGAGGAACACCCGUGGCGAAGGCGGCACUCUGGGACGGUACUGACGCUGAGACGCGAAAGCGUGGGGAGCAAACAGG